AAAGAGCGAUAUAAGGGCGUAUGGUGGAUGACUAGAGAUAAUUGGGCGAAGAAGGACGCGGCGUGACGGCGAUAUGCUUCGGGGAGGUGUCGAGCAACCUUUGAUCCGAAGAUUUCCGAAUGGGGAAACCUAUACCGAAAUUUUAAUUCGGUAUUCCAUUGCUUUAAAAAGUAAUGUGAGCGAACCCGCUGAAGUAAAACAUUUCAGUAAGCGGAGGAAAAGAAAACAACGCAAAACUUUUUUCACAGCGCGCAUGAAUUCGGCGUUGCGAAAAAAGAUUUGUACAUUCUCUUAGUAGCGGCGAGCGAAAAGGGAAUAGCCCAGAGCUUUUUCUUUUUGGUAAUUUAUUAUUAGAAAGAUUAAGCAGUAGUAAGUUUAGUUCUAAUCUUUAAUGAUGAGGAAAAUUGGAUUAUUAGUAGAACGGUCCUGGAAAGGCCGGCCAGAGAGGGUAAUAGCCCCGUAAGCGAAAAUUAAUCUAUAUUCUUUGGACUUCACUUGAGUACCUCGAAAAAUGUAUAGUUCGGGGGAAUCUGCCCGCACGAGCGGGUAAGGCUAAAUACCAAUUAUCAUCGAUAGUGAACUAGUACCGUGAGGGAAAGUUGAAAAGUAGCCCGGUGAGGGCGAUGAAAUAGUACCUGAAACCAUAUGCUUACAAGGAGUCGAAGGGCCGAUGCAGUAAUGCAUCGUGCUUAACGGCGUGCCUAUUGAAGAAUGAGCCAACGAGUUAUUGUUUUUUGCUCGUCUAAGGGCGUAAUGCCCGGAGACACAGGGAAACCAAGUGUUAAUAGCGCGAAAUAUAAGCAUAAAACAAUAGACCCGAAGCGAGGUGAGCUUACCAUGGUCAGGGUGAACCCCGGAGAAAUCCGGGGGAAGGCCCGAACCGUUUAGCCGUUCAAAACUAUCGGAUGAACUGUGGUAAGGAGUGAAAAGCUAAUCGAACCUCGUAAUAGCUGGUUCUCUCCGAAAUAGCUUUAGGGCUAGCGGAUUCUGCAAUCCAGGAGGUAGAGCUACUAGAAGGUCUGUACAGGGAGCAAUCUCGACCGACCUACUAAACUCCGAAUGCCCGGUGUUAAAAAGAAUCUAGUCAGACUACGGGGGCUAAGCUCCGUCGGUCGAAAGGGAAACAGCCCAGAUCUAAAACUAAGGUCCCUAAAUUUCUGCUAAGUGCAAAGAAGGUGGUGAAGUUUCAUAAACAGCGAGGAGGUUGGCUUAGAAGCAGCCAUCCUUUAAAGAGUGCGUAACAGCUCACUCGUCAAGAGACUUUGCGCCACAAAUUAUCGGGGCUAAGUGGAGUACCGAAGUUUAGGACUUGAUAUUUCUUUACUGAAAUAUCAUUUGGUAGGAGAGCGUUCCAAGUGCAGUGAAGCGGAAGGGGUGACCCACCGUGGAGCGCUUGGAAGUGAGAAUGUUGGCACAAGUAACCGCAAUACCCGUGAAAUUCGGGUACACCGUAAACCCAAGGUUUCCUUGGCAAUGUAAAUCAGCCAAGGGUUAGUCGGCCCUAAGGGGAUGGCAAAUGCCGUACCUGAUGGUUAGCAGAUUAAUAUUUCUGCACUGCGUAUUUUUUUGAUGGCGGGACGGAAUCUAGUACCUCGAUCGUGUUAAUGGAUUCACGUUCAUUCUCUGAAGAUAAGGCGCAUGAAAAUCAGCGUUGAGCCUUUAAUGGCAAUAUCAAAGGAGUUUGAAAAUUUUUCCUUUACGGGAAGAAAAUUCGAUGGAGCAGGUUUCCAAGAAAAGCGUCUAAAAAUAUAAAUACGUAUCCGUACCUAAAACCGACACAGGUGGGUGAGUCGAGUAGACUCAGGUGAACGAGUGAGAGAUCCUCAAGGAACUCGGCAAAAAAGCAUUCGUAAGUUCGCAAUAUGAAUUACCC
RNAcentral lists this ribosomal RNA (1873 nucleotides) under bacterium. RNAcentral's name for it is "partial 23S ribosomal RNA". It matches the Rfam family "Bacterial large subunit ribosomal RNA", at positions 1 to 1753 of the family's 2925-position model. The record is from RNAcentral.